This 253-nucleotide ribosomal RNA is filed under the name uncultured bacterium. RNAcentral describes it as "partial 16S ribosomal RNA". It matches the Rfam family "Bacterial small subunit ribosomal RNA", at positions 524 to 776 of the family's 1533-position model. The record is from RNAcentral.
UACGAGUGCUCCAAGCGUUAUCCGGAAUCAUUGGGCGUAAAGGGUGUGUAGGCUGUUAUGUUAGUCUUUUGUUAAAUUCUUCGGCUUAACCGGGGGCAUGCAAAGGAAACGGCAUAACUAGAGGAUGCGAGAGGUGAAUGGAACUCAUGGAGUAGGGGUGAAAUCCGUUGAUAUCAUGGGGAACACCAAAAGCGAAGGCAAUUCACUGGCGCACUCCUGACGCUGAGACACGAAAGCGUAGGUAGCGAAUGGG